GAUGAACGCUGGCGGCGUGCCUAAUACAUGCAAGUCGAGCGAACGGACGAGAAGCUUGCUUCUCUGAUGUUAGCGGCGGACGGGUGAGUAACACGUGGAUAACCUACCUAUAAGACUGGGAUAACUUCGGGAAACCGGAGCUAAUGCCGGAUAAUAUUUUGAACCGCAUGGUUCAAAAGUGAAAGACGGUCUUGCUGUCACUUAUAGAUGGAUCCGCGCUGCAUUAGCUAGUUGGUAAGGUAACGGCUUACCAAGGCAACGAUGCAUAGCCGACCUGAGAGGGUGAUCGGCCACACUGGAACUGAGACACGGUCCAGACUCCUACGGGAGGCAGCAGUAGGGAAUCUUCCGCAAUGGGCGAAAGCCUGACGGAGCAACGCCGCGUGAGUGAUGAAGGUCUUCGGAUCGUAAAACUCUGUUAUUAGGGAAGAACAUAUGUGUAAGUAACUGUGCACAUCUGGACGGUACCUAAUCAGAAAGCCACGGCUAACUACGU
RNAcentral lists this ribosomal RNA (496 nucleotides) under uncultured bacterium. RNAcentral's name for it is "partial 16S ribosomal RNA". It matches the Rfam family "Bacterial small subunit ribosomal RNA", at positions 28 to 506 of the family's 1533-position model. The record is from RNAcentral.